AAUAAUUUAUUUGAUGGUCACUUACUACAUGGAUAACUGUAGUAAUUCUAGAGCUAAUACAUGCGUAAAGUCCCGACUCUUGCGGGGAGGGAUGUAUUUAUUAGAUAAAAAACCAAUGCGGGUUCUGCCCGGUUUUGUGGUGAAUCAUAGUAACUUUUCGAAUCGCAUGGCUUCACGCCGGCGAUAGUUCAUUCAAAUUUCUGCCCUAUCAGCUUUCGAUGGUAGUGUAGUGGACUACCGUGGCGUUAACGGGUAACGGAGAAUUAGGGUUCGAUUCCGGAGAGGGAGCCUGAGAAACGGCUACCACA
This 308-nucleotide ribosomal RNA is filed under the name uncultured eukaryote. RNAcentral describes it as "SSU rRNA". It matches the Rfam family "Eukaryotic small subunit ribosomal RNA", at positions 111 to 414 of the family's 1831-position model. The record is from RNAcentral.